Molecule: ribosomal RNA, 484 nt
Filed under: uncultured bacterium
Lineage: Bacteria
Description: partial 16S ribosomal RNA
Rfam family: Bacterial small subunit ribosomal RNA
Source: RNAcentral
AUUGAACGCUGGCGGCAGGCCUAACACAUGCAAGUCGAGCGGAUGAAGGGAGCUUGCUCCUGGAUUCAGCGGCGGACGGGUGAGUAAUGCCUAGGAAUCUGCCUGGUAGUGGGGGAUAACGUCCGGAAACGGGCGCUAAUACCGCAUACGUCCUGAGGGAGAAAGUGGGGGAGCUUCGGACCUCACGCUAUCAGAUGAGCCUAGGUCGGAUUAGCUAGUUGGUGGGGUAAAGGCCUACCAAGGCGACGAUCCGUAACUGGUCUGAGAGGAUGAGCAGUCACACUGGAACUGAGACACGGUCCAGACUCCUACGGGAGGCAGCAGUGGGGAAUAUUGGACAAUGGGCGAAAGCCUGAUCCAGCCAUGCCGCGUGUGUGAAGAAGGUCUUCGGAUUGUAAAGCACUUUAAGUUGGGAAGAAGGCCAGUACGUUAAUACCUUCCUGUUUUGACGUUACCAACAGAAUAAGCACCGGCUAACUACGUG